GACGAACGCUGGCGGCGUGCUUAACACAUGCAAGUCGAACGGAAAGGCCCUGCUUUUGUGGGGUGCUCGAGUGGCGAACGGGUGAGUAACACGUGAGUAACCUGCCCUUGACUUUGGGAUAACUUCAGGAAACUGGGGCUAAUACCGGAUAGGAGCUCCUGCUGCAUGGUGGGGGUUGGAAAGUUUCGGCGGUUGGGGAUGGACUCGCGGCUUAUCAGCUUGUUGGUGGGGUAGCGGCUUACCAAGGCUUUGACGGGUAGCCGGCCUGAGAGGGUGACCGGCCACAUUGGGACUGAGAUACGGCCCAGACUCCUACGGGAGGCAGCAGUGGGGAAUAUUGCACAAUGGGCGGAAGCCUGAUGCAGCAACGCCGCGUGCGGGAUGACGGCCUUCGGGUUGUAAACCGCUUUCGCCUGUGACGAGGCGUGAGUGACGGUAAUGGGUAAAGAAGCACCGGCUAACUACGUG
Molecule: ribosomal RNA, 468 nt
Filed under: uncultured bacterium
Lineage: Bacteria
Description: partial 16S ribosomal RNA
Rfam family: Bacterial small subunit ribosomal RNA
Source: RNAcentral